AUAUUGGACAAUGGGCGAAAGCCUGAUCCAGCCAUGCCGCGUGAGUGACGAAGGUCUUCGUAUUGUAAAGCUCUCUUUGCGGGGAAGAUAAUGACGGUACCCGCAGAAUAAGCCCCGGCUAACUUCGUGCCAUCAGCCGCGGUAAUACGAAGGGGGCUAGCGUUGUUCGGAAUCACUGGGCGUAAAGCGCACGUAGGCGGAUUUGCCAGUCAGGGGUGAAAUCCCGGGGCUCAACCUCGGAACUGCCUUUGAUACAGCAAGUCUAGAGUCCGGAAGAGGUGAGUGGAAUUCCUAGUGUAGAGGUGAAAUUCGUAGAUAUUAGGAGGAACACCAGUGGCGAAGGCGGCUCACUGGUCCGGCACUGACGCUGAGGUGCGAAAGCGUGGGGAGCAAACAGG
RNAcentral lists this ribosomal RNA (398 nucleotides) under uncultured bacterium. RNAcentral describes it as "partial 16S ribosomal RNA". It matches the Rfam family "Bacterial small subunit ribosomal RNA", at positions 361 to 776 of the family's 1533-position model. The record is from RNAcentral.